Molecule: ribosomal RNA, 518 nt
Filed under: uncultured bacterium
Lineage: Bacteria
Description: bacterial LSU rRNA
Rfam family: Bacterial large subunit ribosomal RNA
Source: RNAcentral
ACUGUUAUGGCUAGGGGGUCAUGGCGACUUACCAAACCAUUGCAAACUCCGAAUACCGAUGAGUACAGCCUGGGAGACAGAGCACCGGGGUGCUAACGUCCGGACUCAAGAGGGAAACAACCCAGACCGCCAGCUAAGGUCCCCAAAAUUGGCUAAGUGGGAAACGAAGUGGGAAGGCUAAAACAGUCAGGAUGUUGGCUUAGAAGCAGCCAUCAUUUAAAGAAAGCGUAAUAGCUCACUGAUCGAGUCGUCCUGCGCGGAAGAUGUAACGGGGCUAAGCCAGUUACCGAAGCUGCGGAUUUGCGCGCGAGCGCAAGUGGUAGGAGAGCGUUCUGUACGCCUGCGAAGGUGGAUUGCGAAAUCUGCUGGAGGUAUCAGAAGUGCGAAUGCUGACAUGAGUAGCGUUAAAGGAGGUGAAAAGCCUCCUCGCCGAAAGCGCAAGGUUCCUACGCAACGUUCAUCGGCGUAGGGUUAGUCGGCCCCUAAGGCGAGGCAGAGAUGCGUAGCUGAUGGAAAAC